GAGUUUGAUUCUGGCUCAGAACGAACGCUGGCGGUGCGUUUUAAGCAUGCAAGUCGAACGGUAAAAAGAGAGCUUGCUCUCUUUGAGAGUGGCGGACUGGUGAGUAACGCGUGGAUGAUCUACCUUUGAGAUGGGGAUAGCUUCUAGAAAUAGGAGAUAAUACCGAAUAACCUUGUUGUGUUUUGAUGUAACAAGAAAAGGAGCGUCAGCUCCGCUCGAAGAUGAGUCUGCGUCCCAUUAGCUAGUUGGUAGGGUAAAGGCUUACCAAGGCGACGAUGGGUAUCCGGCCUGAGAGGGUGAACGGACACAUUGGGACUGAGAUACGGCCCAAACUCCUACGGGAGGCAGCAGCUGAGAAUCUUCCGCAAUGGACGAAAGUCUGACGGAGCGACACCGCGUGAACGAUGAAGGCCGGAAGGUUGUAAAGUUCUUUUGCAGACAAAGAAUAAGGAUAGAAGGAAAUGACUAUCUGAUGACGG
Molecule: ribosomal RNA, 479 nt
Filed under: Treponema sp. canine oral taxon 201
Lineage: Bacteria; Pseudomonadati; Spirochaetota; Spirochaetia; Treponematales; Treponemataceae
Description: bacterial SSU rRNA
Rfam family: Bacterial small subunit ribosomal RNA
Source: RNAcentral